UCGGGUAUGGUGUAGCGGUAACAUCGUUGACUCUCACUUCUUUCUAAAGAGUGACUGCUUUCUCAACAGCCCCGGAUUCGACUCCCGGUAUCCGAG
This 96-nucleotide transfer RNA is filed under the name Neurospora crassa. Its description in RNAcentral is "tRNA predict as a tRNA- Glu : anticodon ctc". It matches the Rfam family "tRNA". Rfam says of the family: Transfer RNA (tRNA) molecules are approximately 80 nucleotides in length. Lineage: Eukaryota; Fungi; Ascomycota; Sordariomycetes; Sordariales; Sordariaceae. The record is from RNAcentral. RNAcentral also lists the same sequence under 1 other name.